UUUUUGUUUAAAGUUAAUUUUUCAUAUUUUUUAGAUAAAAAUUAUUUUUAAAAUAUAUAUAUAUAUAUAUAUAAUAUUUUUGUUUUUAAGUGUUAGAGUUUAAUAUGUGUAAAAUAAUUGGACACAACAUCCCGUCCAUAAUAUGAGGUCCUUCAGCGAUGUCCUAGGUUCUAUCUAUUUUGCACAUAUU
RNAcentral lists this small RNA (190 nucleotides) under Arabidopsis thaliana (thale cress). RNAcentral describes it as "ATSL074050". Lineage: Eukaryota; Viridiplantae; Streptophyta; Magnoliopsida; Brassicales; Brassicaceae. The record is from RNAcentral.